UAAUACGUAGGGGUCGAGCGUUGUCCGGAGUUACUGGGCGUAAAGCGUGCGCAGGCGGCUCAUUGCGCCCGGCGUGAAAGCCCCCGGCUCAACCGGGGAGGGUCGUCGGGGACGGGUGAGCUUGAGGGUAUCAGGGGCUGGUGGAAUUCCCGGUGUAGUGGUGAAAUGCGUAGAGAUCGGGAGGAACACCCGUGGCGAAGGCGGCCAGCUGGGAUACACCUGACGCUGAGGCACGAAGGCGUGGGGAGCGAACGGGAUUAGAUACCCCGGUAGUCCACGCAGUAAACGAUGCAGACUAGGCGUGGGGGGACUUGACCCCCUCCGUGCCGGAGCUAACGCGGGAAGUCUGCCGCCUGGGGAGUACGGCCGCAAGGCUA
RNAcentral lists this ribosomal RNA (377 nucleotides) under uncultured bacterium. RNAcentral describes it as "bacterial SSU rRNA". It matches the Rfam family "Bacterial small subunit ribosomal RNA", at positions 521 to 896 of the family's 1533-position model. The record is from RNAcentral.